This 554-nucleotide ribosomal RNA is filed under the name uncultured bacterium. RNAcentral describes it as "partial 16S ribosomal RNA". It matches the Rfam family "Bacterial small subunit ribosomal RNA", at positions 355 to 895 of the family's 1533-position model. The record is from RNAcentral.
UGGGGAAUAUUGCACAAUGGGCGCAAGCCUGAUGCAGCCAUGCCGCGUGUGUGAAGAAGGCCUUCGGGUUGUAAAGCACUUUCAGCGAGGAGGAAGGUGGUGAGCUUAAUACGCUCAUCAAUUGACGUUACUCGCAGAAGAAGCACCGGCUAACUCCGUGCCAGCAGCCGCGGUAAUACGGAGGGUGCAAGCGUUAAUCGGAAUUACUGGGCGUAAAGCGCACGCAGGCGGUUUGUUAAGUCAGAUGUGAAAAUCCCCGGGCUCAACCUGGGAACUGCAUUUGAAAACUGGCAAGCUAGAGUCUCGUAGAGGGGGGUAGAAUUCCAGGUGUAGCGGUGAAAUGCGUAGAGAUCUGGAGGAAUACCGGUGGCGAAGGCGGCCCCCUGGACGAAGACUGACGCUCAGGUGCGAAAAGCGUGGGGAGCAAAACAGGAUUAGAUACCCUGGUAGUCCACGCUGUAAAACGAUGUCGAUUUUGGAGGUUGUGCCCUUGAGGCGUGGCUUCCGGAGCUAACGCGUUAAAUCGACCGCCUGGGGAGUACGGCCGCAAGGUU